Molecule: non-coding RNA, 378 nt
Organism: Salmo salar (Atlantic salmon)
Lineage: Eukaryota; Metazoa; Chordata; Actinopteri; Salmoniformes; Salmonidae
Source: RefSeq, a predicted model, not a curated record
AUGAAAAUACUACUGAUGUUGUACAUUAGUAAUUUCUUACUGGGUUUUCAUGAAAAUACUACCAUGAGGUCAUAAUAAUUCUGUUUCUGAGUAGUAAUAUUUGAGUUAGUCCUUUGUGAAGUCAUGGGAAUGCUGCACUGAUAUCAUAGUCAUAUGGGCAGCCUCCAUCCACACAUCACAGUGCUGGAAAACCAUCCCUACUGCUGGCCCGUUCUGCUGCUGGAGAUUGAUGACUUCAUCCAGUGGACCGCUGACAGCUCUACCUGUACUGUGAGCUCCAGCAAGGGGACCACACCCAGAACCAGAACCAAGAAAAGAAAGAAGACCAGGAAAAGGAAGAGGACCCGGGACAGAGCCCUGUGGUACGCCACAGAAUAG